RNAcentral lists this ribosomal RNA (447 nucleotides) under uncultured bacterium. RNAcentral describes it as "partial 16S ribosomal RNA". It matches the Rfam family "Bacterial small subunit ribosomal RNA", at positions 29 to 523 of the family's 1533-position model. The record is from RNAcentral.
AACGAACGCUGGCGGCAGGCUUAACACAUGCAAGUCGAACGCCCCGCAAGGGGAGUGGCAGACGGGUGAGUAACGCGUGGGAACAUACCCUUUCCUGCGGAAUAGCUCUGGGAAACUGGAAUUAAUACCGCAUACGCCCCACGGGGGAAAGAUUUAUCGGGGAAGGAUUGGCCCGCGUUGGAUUAGCUAGUUGGUGGGGUAAAGGCCUACCAAGGCGACGAUCCAUAGCUGGUCUGAGAGGAUGAUCAGCCACAUUGGGACUGAGACACGGCCCAAACUCCUACGGGAGGCAGCAGUGGGGAAUAUUGGACAAUGGGCGCAAGCCUGAUCCAGCCAUGCCGCGUGAGUGAUGAAGGCCUUAGGGUUGUAAAGCUCUUUCACCGAUGAAGAUAAUGACGGUAGUCGGAGAAGAAGCCCCGGCUAACUUCGUGCCAGCCGCCGCAGUAA